Molecule: long non-coding RNA, 1139 nt
Organism: Mesocricetus auratus (golden hamster)
Lineage: Eukaryota; Metazoa; Chordata; Mammalia; Rodentia; Cricetidae
Exons: 2
Source: RefSeq, a predicted model, not a curated record
CAGAUGGGAAGACCCCAUCGAGACCGACUUUCCAGAGUGUGCUAGCUUCUGAAAACUGUCAGGACAUUUGUUAAAGGACUGACUAAUAGGACCAGCUCACCCUCUAAUGUGGCCUCUGCACUAGAGAUGAGAGCACGGAUCGGAUGUCUGGGGUGCUCCGAGGCGGAGUGGGAUGGCACCCGGGGAAGAGCACCCUUAGGACCUUAGACUCAGUUUUAAGAACGGCUGCCGCAGAGCCAGAUGUCACAGUUGCUUCAGUCUGCCUUUGCCUCCCCCUUUGACAACACUGCAACUGAGGAAGUACAGACUUACUUCCUCUUGGUUUUGAGGACCAGCCAGAGAGUCAGCGUGUGACUUUGGGAGUACCUGCCCGGGACUCUCACUCCAUCAUGCUUGUAUGGGAUGAUUUCAGUGGGCAUUCAGGGGAGGAAGCCAGGAAUAACAUUCCUUAGAGCCCUCCAGAGCUGUAGCCGGAGUCAGAGACCACGUAUGGCAGUGUGGUCCUAGACAUGCUGGCAAGUUGCCACCUAAGCAAUCCCACUGAAGUCUCUCUCUAGUGCAGACCUCUCAUUUGGAAAAGGCAAGAACGCACCAAAAACGAUUUAGACAAGACCUUUCAAAACUCAGCAGGGCAGCCCGCUGAUGGGCCAUAAAUAUCGAGUUGUUUCCAUGAUAUCUUAUUAUGGGGUGUAUAAAAGGACCACUGGGCAAACACACAGGCUGCCUGUCAAGACGGACUUUCACCCUCAAAAGGAGAGCAACCCCACCCCACAAGUGGGAGAAUCAGGAAGAGAAGCCAGCUGAAAAUGCUCCAGUCCAACUUUGAACGGCAAAGUUGGUUCUGAAAGUGCUGGUGUGUGUGCAGGAGACAAAGAAGAGCAUGGGAGCGCUGGCGAGGCUGUGGGAGAAGAGGAAGUGCGCCUAGCGGGAGCUGGCAAAGGCACACAGGGGCAAACUGAUGGGGGGAGUCAAGAGGGACAAUUUCAGAGGGGACUUGGGUGUCAGGUGCGUAGAAGGAGGGAAGUAAAUCGUGGGGUCUUUUGCUGUAGGUGAUAUGGAUGGAUUUUCCCACUGAUACGGUCUUUUCCCUACAUUUUCCAAGCUUUUUGUAAAAAUAAAUAAAUAAGUAAAUAAAUAAA